RNAcentral lists this long non-coding RNA (1374 nucleotides) under Cyanistes caeruleus (blue tit). RNAcentral describes it as "lncRNA (ENSCCEG00000000383.1)". The record is from RNAcentral. Lineage: Eukaryota; Metazoa; Chordata; Aves; Passeriformes; Paridae.
AAGGACUCUGGGCACCUGUGCCAGGGCCUGCCCACCCUGCCAAGGAACAAUUCCUUCCCAAUAUCUAAUUUAAAUCUCCCCUCCUGCAGCUUGAGGCCAUUCCCCCUUGUCCUCUCCUCCCAAAGACUCUCUUCCCACGCGUGGUGAGACAAACAUCACUGAGCUUUUUGUUUUGACCAGGACGGGGCUGAGCCGCCUGGGUUGGGCGUCCCCAGGUGGGAUUUUUUGGGGUGGAAUUAAAGCUUUUCACCACACUCAGCCUCUCUUUUUUUCGAGAGCACAAACCAUGGCGAGCCCACACACUUCAUAAAUCUAAUUAUUCCCACCAACUCUACCAGGAACCAGAGAGGGAAGCAAGGGAGGGGUUACCAGAGGUUGGUUUGGCUCUGCUGGCGUGUCCCGUGGCUGUGCUGGCGGCGCUGGCUGUCCCACUGCUGCCGUCCCUCGCUGCCGUCGCUGUGGGGGUGUCUGCCGUGCUCCUGGCAGCGCAGCCUGGCUGCUGCCAGCACGCAGAGGGUGAUGCCCAGGAGCUGCCUCCACUUCAUGGUUGUGGGAAUUCCCAAAAGUGGCGUUCCCUGCUCCCAAAAAAGCGCCGCUUUUGGGACCCGGGCUCCUCAGUCCUGCAGCAGCUCUGAGCUCAUGCGGCUUUGCUUGGAGUUCAAGCCUUUGAGAUCACUCACUUUGUGGGGUGGGUUUCUCUUCAGGGGUUGUGCUUGUGGUCCGGGACUGCGAGGUGGAGUUUCUCCGCUUUGAUUUCCCAGUUUUAUAUAGUUCAUGGCAAGCUCUCUAUCACUUAGGUAAUUUUCUCCUCCCCACUUUCCUGCCAGCAGCUUCAAAACAAACAAAAGAUCAGCCCUCUCCCCAGCGAAGGAUCCCAAAGGCUGGCCGGGAUUAACUCUUUCCUGAGAGCUGCUGCUUUCCUGGCUGGGGGAGGGCAGGGACGGAGCCUGAUCCAGCUGGAUGCAGGGCUUGAGGCUGGGCUUCCCUCCGAGCACGGCAAGCACAGCCCGAGGAGCUCAGGGAUGGGGGGAAGCCCCAGGUGCAGCCCAGCACACUCCAGGAGAGGUCCCAGCACCGUGGGAAACAGGGGAAUGCUCAAGUUGGGCUUCAGGAUCAGGGAUUUUCUCAGCAAAUGAAGCGAGGAGCUCAAGGAUGUGGGAUCAUCGCUGAGCUGAAGCCACUCCAUUAACUCCAGUGCAAGAGUGAGAUGGGUUGGAGAAGGGCUGGGGCAGAAAAAAUCCACAGGCAAAAUCUUUGGCAUUAAGGCUGGAGCAGGAGCAGGACAGGAGAGCAAGAACUUCCCCGAGCUCGUUGGGAAAGCGGUGUGGGAGCCCUGGGAGCGGCACAGAACACCGGCUGCAGCUUUGAGCUCAG